Fundulus heteroclitus (mummichog) is the source of this 1164-nucleotide long non-coding RNA. RefSeq lists it as uncharacterized. The record is from RefSeq and is a predicted model, not a curated record. NCBI's taxonomy places the organism in Eukaryota, Metazoa, Chordata, Actinopteri, Cyprinodontiformes, Fundulidae. The transcript has 3 exons.
AUUGCACUUUUUUAUUUUUUGGCAGCAUUCAUGGUGCUUUUGUUUGACCUAAAGGCACUGGUAGAUUUGAGCUCAGUCGGGACCAUUUUUGCAUAUUCUUUGGUUGCAGUCUGCGUUCUUUUAUUAAGGUACAAAGAACAAUCAAAUGUUGGUGAACGUCCAGAACCCUUCACAUUAUUGGGACUACUCAGGCCUCCACAUAGACCUACUCACCGCACCUCUAUAAAUGUGAACAUAAUCACUAUCAUUACUUUGGUUCUGGUGAUUGCUCUAAGUGUGCUGCUCAGCAAGGCCUCGGACGCCCUUUACAGACAAGAGCUCUGGAGUUUGUUGCUUGUCUCGAUCCUUCUGCUCAUGCUUGUCUUUAAUGUCAGUAUUAUCUGGCGACAUCCACAGAGCACUCCUGAAGCUUCUUUCAAGGUAACUGAUCAAAUUAUUAAUGGGGGCCACUCAUUGUAUAAUCUUUGACAAUCCAGUUAAUAGACAAUUUCAGAAUGAAAUUACUGAAUGAGGAACUUUGUGAAAAAGACAUGAAAUACACAUAGUACUAUCUUAAUUUACAUGUCCAUCUAAUGUGUCUGCCUUUAAGUGGCAUGGGAAGAGAUGAUGCCAUAGGAAAAAAAGAGUUGCCCUUGACUCUAAGCAUUUCACACUGUAUUCAAAUUCAAAACCAGUGAAUCCAGACAGAUUAAUAAAAAAAACAUUUCUGGACAUAACUGUUGUCAAGGGGUGUUUGCAACUGUUGUGUGCAUGAGAAUGGUGCCUUGCAAAAGUAUUCACCCCCUUGGCAUUUUUAUGUGUUGCUUCACAACCUUGAAUUAAAAUGGAUUGAGAGUUUGCACCAUUAAACUUGUGUAAACUGUCUACAGAGAAUGUAUAAGUCUCCAUUCGUCAAAUCACUAAGCCCAACACCUUAGCCCCCUCCAACUUGUGGUACAUGUACAGUAUUUAAAAAUAAUACAACUAUUGUCAUCUAAUUAUUCUAUAACAGAAUCAGAAUAUCUUUCAAGCCAUUAUUAAUGUUGAUGAUGUAACCAUACCGUAUAAUCGAAACAUUUAAACUAUUACUUUUAAAUGCUGCACCAUAUGAAUAUCUUUGUCUUAUGAGUAACUCAUAGUAGCUUAGCAACCAUUUUUUUAGACUAUCUCGUAUUCAAUUUGAAA